Molecule: ribosomal RNA, 425 nt
Filed under: uncultured Eubacteriales bacterium
Lineage: Bacteria; Bacillati; Bacillota; Clostridia; Eubacteriales
Description: uncultured Clostridiales bacterium partial 16S ribosomal RNA
Rfam family: Bacterial small subunit ribosomal RNA
Source: RNAcentral
UGGGGAAUUUUCCGCAAUGGGCGCAAGCCUGACGGAGCAACGCCGCGUGAAUGAAGAAGGCCUUCGGGUCGUAAAAUUUUGUCAUCAGGGACGAAUAAGCAAUGCGAAUAGUGUUGUGUAUGACGGUACCUGAGAAGGAAGCUCCGGCUAACUACGUGCCAGCAGCCGCGGUAAUACGUAGGGAGCGAGCGUUGUCCGGAAUUACUGGGCGUAAAGGGCGCGUAGGCGGAUACUUAAGUCAGAUGUGAAAUCUCCGAGCUUAACUUGGAGCGUGCAUUUGAAACUGGGUAUCUUGAGGGCAGGAGAGGAAAGUGGAAUUCCUAGUGUAGCGGUGAAAUGCGUAGAUAUUAGGAGGAACACCAGUGGCGAAGGCGACUUUCUGGACUGUACCUGACGCUGAGGCGCGAAAGCGUGGGGAGCGAACG